Molecule: RNA transcript, 1702 nt
Organism: Sapajus apella (tufted capuchin)
Lineage: Eukaryota; Metazoa; Chordata; Mammalia; Primates; Cebidae
Gene name: telomeric repeat-binding factor 1 pseudogene
Exons: 1
Source: RefSeq, a predicted model, not a curated record
UGACAUGGCGGAGGACGCCUCCUCAGCUGCUCGGAGUCCCCGGGGCUGUGCGGAUGGUAGGGAUGCCGACGCUACCGAGGAGCGGAUAGCAGAAACGGAGAGAAACGACGAGGAGCAGUUCGAGUGCCAGGAACUGCUCGAGUGCCAGGUGCAGUUGGGGGCUCCAGAGGAGGAGGAGGAUGCUGGCCUUGUGGCUGAGGCCGAGGCUGUGGUUGCCGGCUGGAUGCUCGAUUUCCUCUGCCUCUCUCUUUGCCGAGCUUUCCGCGACGGCCGCUCCGAGGACUUUCGCCAGACCCGCGACAGCGCCGAGGAUGCACAGUUUGAAAAUGAUGAACGAAUUACACCCUUGGAAUCAGCCCUGAUGAUUUGGGGUUCGAUUGAAAAGGAACAUGACAAACUUCACGAAGAAAUACAGAAUUUAAUGGAAGUUCAGGCUAUAGCUGUUUGUAUGGAAAACGGGAACUUUAAGGAAGCAGAAGAAGUCUUUGAAAGAAUAUUUGGUGAUCCAAAUUCUUACGCGCCUUUAAAAAGGAAAUUGCUUAUGAUAAUCUCUCAGAAAGAUACAUACCAUUCUGUUUUUCAACACUUCAGUUACAACCACAUGAUGGAGAAAAUUAAGAGUUAUGUGAAUUAUGUGCUAAGUGAAAAAUCAUCAACCUUUCUAAUGAAGGCAGCAGCAAAAGUAGUAGAAAGUAAAAGAGCAAGAACAAUAACUUCUCAAGAUAAACCUAAUGGUAAUGAUGUUGAAAUGGAAACUGAAGCUAAUUUGGAUACAAGAAAAAGUGUUAGUGACAAACAGUCUGCAGUAACUGAAUCCUCAGAGGGUACAGUAUCCUUAUUGAGGUCUCACAAGAAUCUUUUCUUAUCUAAGUUGAAGCAUGGAACCCAGCAACAAGACCUUAGUAAAGAAAGAAGAGUAGGAACUCUUCAAAGUGCAAAAAAGAAAAAAGAAAGUAGAAGAGCCACUGAAAGUAGAAUACCUGUUUCAGAAAGUCAACCGGUGACUCCUGAAAAACAUCGAGCUAGAAAAAGACAGGCAUGGCUUUGCGAAGAAGACAAGAAUUUGAGAUCUGGCGUGAGGAAAUUUGGAGAGGGAAACUGGUCUAAAAUACUGUUGCAUUAUAAAUUCAACAACCGGACAAGUGUCAUGUUAAAAGACAGAUGGAGGACCAUGAAGAAACUAAAACUCAUUUGCUCAGACAGUGAAGACUGAUUGCGUUUCUAAAAGCUUGAUGAAAGGACAGUUAAGUACAUGUAGAUCACUACAUUUUGUUUGAAACUUGCAUCAUUGAUGUAUUUUAAAACUUUUGUUUAAAGCAUUACAGUAUUUUUCUGUGACCAUCGAUAUAAGGGUUUGUGCUCUAAGAAUUAAAGUAUAUGCUAUCAUUGUGUUCUUUAAGAACCUUUUGAUAAACUGUAAAUUUGUUGAACCCUGCCACAUUUAGUAUCCCCACCUCCAAAUCCUACUCCAGUGAAAAAAUUAAAAGCUGAUCUGAAAAAAAUAUUUUAAUUAACCUAUUUUGUGUCUGUAGGCUGACCUCAACCCUGUAACGUAACCCAUUAAAAUGAAUUUUUUAGAUAAUUGAAUAACAAUAGUCCUUUGAUAUGAGAUAGUGACUUGGUUUAUGGCCUUAAUAUACUGCUUAAUUACUUAAGACAUUCAUUAAUAGAAUGAUAAAUGUACAAAGUAACCUAUAAGUAU